Molecule: long non-coding RNA, 554 nt
Organism: Carassius gibelio (silver crucian carp)
Lineage: Eukaryota; Metazoa; Chordata; Actinopteri; Cypriniformes; Cyprinidae
Exons: 4
Source: RefSeq, a predicted model, not a curated record
AGCUCAUUCGACACAGACACAGCGGCAGUGAUCUCAGAUCAGAUGUUUCCUCUUCAUUUCAUCACAUGCUGAAGAAAACACUUUACUUGUUAUUAUUUGAUAACACAGAGGUAAAUGUUAGAGUAAUGGAUGAAUGGGAGAACAUAUAUGGAGCAUCACGAACCGCAGGAUAAACACAUGAAGAAGAGAAAAAGAGAAAAAUUGUAACAAAGAGGACAAAAUGUUACAAUCUAAAGAAGCAAAGAAACCGAGUCUGUUCAGACGGAGCAGUAUUAAUAGCGGCAGACCAAACUUUUCUGACAUCGCAGAGUUUCAAAGAGACACAGACAAGGAUGCAGCGGUUCUGUUCAUCUAAUCUGCAGAAUAUUCCCCAUGUUCAGCCACUGAUUGAUGUAUAGAGAAUAUGUAGAAAAUGGUAUUAUAUUUAUAAAUUAGAUUUCAAAUAGACUUUUAUAAUAAUCACUGAUGUAAUAAGUGUUUAUGCUGUAUGUUACUAUAUGAAUUAAUUUACUGUACAAAAUAAACCUGGUCCGAAAAGAAAAGAACUGUGUUAA